This is a ribosomal RNA of Esox lucius (northern pike), 119 nucleotides long. NCBI's taxonomy places the organism in Eukaryota, Metazoa, Chordata, Actinopteri, Esociformes, Esocidae. The record is from Ensembl.
GCUCACGGCCACACCUCCCUCAGCACGCCCGAUCUCGUCUGAUCUCGGAAGCUAAGCAAGGUCGGGCCCGGUUAGUACUUGGAUGGGAGACCGCCUGGGAAUACCAGGUGCUGUAAGCU